This 242-nucleotide ribosomal RNA is filed under the name uncultured bacterium. RNAcentral describes it as "partial 16S ribosomal RNA". It matches the Rfam family "Bacterial small subunit ribosomal RNA", at positions 89 to 334 of the family's 1533-position model. The record is from RNAcentral.
CGGCGAGUGGCGAACGGGUGAGUAAUACAUCGGAACGUGCCCAGUAGUGGGGGAUAGCUCGGCGAAAGCCGGAUUAAUACCGCAUACGACCUGAGGGUGAAAGCGGGGGAUCUUCGGACCUCGCGCUAUUGGAGCGGCCGAUGGCAGAUUAGCUAGUUGGUGGGGUAAAGGCCUACCAAGGCGACGAUCUGUAGCUGGUCUGAGAGGACGACCAGCCACACUGGGACUGAGACACGGCCCAG